This 85-nucleotide transfer RNA is filed under the name Saccharomyces cerevisiae CLIB382. RNAcentral's name for it is "tRNA-Leu (TAA) (tRNA-Leu-TAA-2-1)". It matches the Rfam family "tRNA". Rfam says of the family: Transfer RNA (tRNA) molecules are approximately 80 nucleotides in length. Their secondary structure includes four short double-helical elements and three loops (D, anti-codon, and T loops). Further hydrogen bonds mediate the characteristic L-shaped molecular structure. tRNAs have two regions of fundamental functional importance: the anti-codon, which is responsible for specific mRNA codon recognition, and the 3' end, to which the tRNAs corresponding amino acid is attached (by aminoacyl-tRNA synthetases). tRNAs cope with the degeneracy of the genetic code in two manners: having more than one tRNA (with a specific anti-codon) for a particular amino acid; and 'wobble' base-pairing, i.e. permitting non-standard base-pairing at the 3rd anti-codon position. The record is from RNAcentral. Lineage: Eukaryota; Fungi; Ascomycota; Saccharomycetes; Saccharomycetales; Saccharomycetaceae.
GGAGGGUUGGCCGAGUGGUCUAAGGCGGCAGACUUAAGAUCUGUUGGACGGUUGUCCGACGCGAGUCCGAACCUCGCAUCCUUCA